This 433-nucleotide ribosomal RNA is filed under the name uncultured bacterium. RNAcentral's name for it is "partial 16S ribosomal RNA". It matches the Rfam family "Bacterial small subunit ribosomal RNA", at positions 29 to 507 of the family's 1533-position model. The record is from RNAcentral.
AACGAACGCUGGCGGCAUGCCUAACACAUGCAAGUCGAACGAGACCUCCGGGCCUAGUUGCGCACGUGUGCGUAACGCGUGGGAACUUGCCCUUAGGUUCGGAAUAACUCCCCGAAAGGGGUGCUAAUACCGGAUAAUCUCUUCGGACCAAAGAUUUAUCGCCUUUGGGUGGGCCCGCGUUGGUUUAGCUAGUUGGUAGUGUAAAAGCAUAUCAAGGAGACGAUGCAUAGCUGGUGUGAGAGGAUGCUCAGCCACACUGGGACUGCGACACGGACCAGACUGCUACGGGAGGCAGGAGUGGGGAAUAUUGGACGAGGGGCGAAAGCCUGAUACAGCAAUGCCGGGUGAGUGAUGCAGGGGUUAGGGUUGUAAAGCUGUCUUACACGAGACGAUAAUGACAGUACCGGGAGAAUAAGCACCGGCUAACUACGUG